GCCAGUAUGGCACAGUGGUUUGAACGUUGGACUAUGACUGAGGAGACCAGGGUUUGAUUCCCAGUUUGGCCA
RNAcentral lists this transfer RNA (72 nucleotides) under Phrynosoma platyrhinos (Desert horned lizard). RNAcentral's name for it is "tRNA-OTHER". The record is from RNAcentral. Lineage: Eukaryota; Metazoa; Chordata; Lepidosauria; Squamata; Phrynosomatidae.